Molecule: long non-coding RNA, 1780 nt
Organism: Melopsittacus undulatus (budgerigar)
Lineage: Eukaryota; Metazoa; Chordata; Aves; Psittaciformes; Psittaculidae
Exons: 3
Source: RefSeq, a predicted model, not a curated record
UGUAAGUUUGCUGGUGCACACUCUGGUGGCCAGUCUUUCUACAGAGAGAACUCCUGGGUGCAUCAUGUAAAUAAGAAAUGUGUUUGCCAGGUAUUGCACACCAGUUUAAUUUUUAAUUGUAAUUUUUUAAGCUAAAAACACGUAUUCCACUCACUCAAGCAUCUUACAAGAGUAAUGGCUCCCAAACAGGUAUUUCUCAGUUACUAGUCUUCUGAUCUCAAAGGCUGACUCUGGGUUUGUUUGAUCGGAUACAGUUUCUGUUGAAUGUUUUUGGUCACAGCUCCCUAUCUGUUUAAAAAAGAAUAAGAAAAAGAAAACAAAAAAAUUAUUUUCUCUUUUGUUGGUUUAGUGAGAGGUGUCCCUGCCCAUGGCAGGGGGGUUGGAACUAGAUGAUCUUCAGGUCCUUUCCAAUCUUAACUAUUCUAUGAUUCUAUAUAAUAGACAUGGUAGGGCAAAUGCUCUUGGUACAGACUUGUGUCAUGCUCAGCAAAUGUGGUUUUGAGCAGUUACCAUGCCUUCUGGCCUUUACAGUCAUACAAAUAUCUCCAGUACAGCUAUGCAUGGGUUAAAGAUUGUUAGAAAUGUUUGUGUAUGCACAUAACCAUAAUGUUCAAUUCAGCACAUAGCCUCUGCUGACAAUAACACUUUGAUAGUUCUGCAUAUUCUGUCUUCUGAAUACAAUUUUAAUACCGGUUCUUCUUAAUACUCCUUCUCUUAUGUUGUCUGUGAUGUACAGUUAUGGAUUUUCUAGUUGCUCUUUUUGUUCAACAGGAAACGCCAGGCUUUUCUCACCUCAUUCUGCCCUUACUUCUGGUAGUGCUCUAUUACAUUGGCCACAGGUGUUGGAACUAAAAAUUCUGCUCCAUUUCCAGUCAAGCAAAUCUCCAUCCUGCAAUGUGCAGAGAAGAGGCCAGAGUACCGGGACACCCCAGUGACUGCAGAAGGGGAAGAAUGCUGCAAAACUCUUGACUCCAUGUAGAGCUCAAAAUGAGGACGUGAAGAAGAAAGAAGGAAAAAACGAUAGAAGUGGAUCUGCAGUACCCUUGUCAUGCCCUGAGACGCAGGGUCGUCAUUUCAGGUGGGAAACGCCUGUCCCUCAGGAAAAGAAGGCGAACUACUCCCUCUAUAGGCUUUCCCCUUUGUUGCUUUCAUGAACCGGACAUCCAGGGGAUCAGAGCUGCAUGCAAACUUAGAAGGCUGGCAAGAACUCUGAAGGCCCUGCUGCCACAAUUGCACCAGCACUGCAGUUUAUGGCAUCAUUCCAGUAAGAAAAGCAACCUGUAUUAAGAACAAUCCUGUAAAUAAAAAAGAUUAUUUAUAAUAGCUCAGUGACCUGAUUUACAGCACCAACAACAGUUGCAGAGCAGCAGGAGUGUGAAGAAUCAGCCAGAGGCAGGGCAGGGAUGGGAGGCAGAUGUUUGCAAGCUGGCCUUGCAAAUGAAGCCCCCUUUUGAAAAUGUGCAGCUGCCAGUGUACCUUUGCUCUGGUACAGGUCAGAGGGAAUUCUCCUGCAGUGUCUGAAGUAACACAUUAGGGAAGAACUGACACAUGGGUGAGUUAUAUAUUAACCACUAGAGAUGACCUUUCAGAGAGUGACAGAGUAACAAUCUCGCUGAUAAAGGAAAUAGCAACUUUUUCAUUUUGCAGAGCAUGGGUAUUCUUCCCAGUAAAAGACUGCACAGCUCUUCCCACUAAAUGAUACCAUUUUCAGUUCUUCCAUACUUUCUGAAAUGGAAUAAAUUGUUCAGAUGUUUUCAGUGCUAAAUAAAUGCCUCUUUCU